Molecule: transfer RNA, 68 nt
Filed under: Grapholita molesta (oriental fruit moth)
Lineage: Eukaryota; Metazoa; Arthropoda; Insecta; Lepidoptera; Tortricidae
Description: tRNA-Cys
Source: RNAcentral
AGUCUUAUAGUUAAAUAUUAUAAUAUAAAAUUGCAAAUUUUAAGAUGAAAAAAAAAAUUCUAAGGCUU